ACGGGGCGCAGCAGGCGCGAAAACUUUACAAGGCUGGCAACAGCGAUAAGGGGACCUCGAGUGCCAGGUUACAAAACUGGCUGUCGAGAUGCCUAAAAAGCAUUUCAUAGCAAGGGACGGGCAAGCCCGGUGCCAGCCGCCGGGGUAACACCGGCGGCUCGAGUGGUA
This 168-nucleotide ribosomal RNA is filed under the name uncultured archaeon. RNAcentral's name for it is "partial 16S ribosomal RNA". It matches the Rfam family "Archaeal small subunit ribosomal RNA", at positions 325 to 492 of the family's 1478-position model. The record is from RNAcentral.